UGUCCUGUGUCCCCUUUUUCCUCACCAUCAAUCACUCACUUUCCCUCUUUUCCUUCAACCAAUCAGACACUCCCUCACUUCUCUCAUCCAAUCAAAUCAUCUCUCUCUCUCAUCUUCUCCUUCUCUCUCUCACCGUGACUCCCUCUUCUCUGCAACAACAAGGACCAUACAUCAAAUCUCACAAAUUGAGCUUGCAACCACCAUCAUCACAUUUCUCUCAUCCUUACGAAUCCAACUAUACAAACCGAUCGUAAAAUGGUUGAGUUUUGAACACCCAACUAAGAAGCUCCGACUCGGGCGAGUUUUCCCUGACUUGUUCCCGGCCGAGUUACAAGCUUUUGGGAUGUUUGGAAGCCUCCACACAACUCCCUUGAGUCAAUAGCCUAAGUUUGAAGUUGAGUUAACGUGGAAACACAGGGUUUCGAGGUGAAGAAAAUAAGUCCGAAACUUUCGAGGCUUUUUCAGGCCACUUCCCAUCCAUUUUUGGACUUUUGGAAGGUGAGAACUAUCUCGAGGACAUACGAGGACAAGCACGGCUAGAAGGUUACGAUCCAUCGACGUGUCAGUCCUAGAUAGCUGAAUUCUCUAUGGCAUACGAGGAAAUCUCUGGUGAUUCUGACAUACGUCUAAAUGUAGGAACUUUUCUUGUUAUGUAAUAAGUACUUAGCUAGUUUCGACUGCACUACUUAUGUCAUCUAUGGUCUGAACAUUUGUGCUUUA
Malus domestica (apple) is the source of this 720-nucleotide long non-coding RNA. RefSeq lists it as uncharacterized. The record is from RefSeq and is a predicted model, not a curated record. NCBI's taxonomy places the organism in Eukaryota, Viridiplantae, Streptophyta, Magnoliopsida, Rosales, Rosaceae.